CUGUACGCACCAUAAUCCUGUUAUCAUCAUUUUCCUAGCUUUUAUAUUUUCCUCCUUUUCUAUAUCUUCUAUUGGUAAGUUUCCACUAGAGAGUUGGUCAUGAAGCCGAUAUGGACUGUAAACGUCACUUAAACUUUCAACAAAUGCAUUUACUUUCUUCUCUCUGUCCGCCAUUUCUAACACCAAUUGUCCAAAGCUAUACACAUCUGCUUUAUAUGAGACACGUUCAAUGUUUUUGUAGAAUUUGUUUCUAUAGAAUAUCUCUGGUGCCAUAUAUCCUAAUGUUCCCCUUUUAGCUGUAAGAGAUGCAAUGCUUCCCUUAGUUGGAUAAAAUUUAGCAAGGCCAAAAUCAGAGAUCUUUGGAGUGAAAUUUUCAUCAAGAAGAAUAUUGUGAGGUUUGAUGUCAAAAUGAAGGAUUUGCAUGUCACAACCUAGAUGUAGAUAUUCAAUGCCAUGAGCAACUCCAAGUGAUAUCUUAUAUAGUUUUUCCCAACUUAAGGAAACGGAUCCUUUAUGACAAUCAAUAUAAUUAUUAAGAGAUCCUUUAGACAUGAAUUCAUAUAUAAGAGCUUGCUUUGAUCUCUCAGCACAAAAACCAAUUAGUUGUACUACAUUAACAUGGUGAACCUGUCCAAUUGAUGCUACUUCAUUGAUAAAAUCUUGACCAUUUGCUUUAGACUUCCCUAACAUCUUUAUAGCUGCAAGGCGGCCGCUGCGAAGCUUCCCUUUGUAUACAGAGCCAUAACCUCCUUCACCCAACUUAUUCUUAAAGCCAUUUGUCAUCUUCCUAAUAUCAGAGUAAGAGUACCUUACUGGGGCAAAGUUGUUUUGACUUUGAAGAAAUUCUUCAAUGCUGUCAUACAUUGAUAAAUGCCUCCUUGACCAUGUAUAAAUCAAGAACGCCAUCACACAUGGAGUGCAACAAAUAGUUUUUGCAACUAUGAGUAAUCCAAUAAUCAUCAGUAUCGCAUACCGGCUGGCUCUGAUCCUGUCUCUCAAGUCCCUGAAGAAAUCUUCUGAACAGCCGGUGGGCCUAUCUAUGCCAUUUUCGCGAAAGCAAAAUUCUCGACCACUGCAAAUUUGACAGAAAAUUUGAGACCAUGAAAGCUCAAAUCCAUAUACCAGAUCAUUAUGGAUAUCCAUGAAGGAAAAGUUCUUGCCAACCCUUGCAGGUAACAAUGACAAAACCAUCAACUCUACACUGCAGGAGUUCUCAAUAUCUGUUAUGCUGGUAAAGUUAUCCAUGACAUAAGAAUAUUUUGCAUCAAUGCAAGGAGAAGAGUCCACAUAGAGUGGAGAAUUCACUGGAUUUGCACACUUCAUGAACAGAAUAAGCUUCGGUGGUCUGCUACUGAAAUUCCACCGGGGUGAAUUCAAGUCAUAAGGAUCUAUAUAGCUGAAGUUGGCUGCAGUCAAAGAAUAUCUUGGGAGGGAGGAGCAAUUAUCCUUGUGAACAGCAGCAUCAACGACUCUAAGAGUGGACUUAUCGUAAUUGAUUGCUUGCACAUAGUAUUUUCCGGCAUACAAGUACAAAACCGUUUGAUUUUUCUCACAAGACAAUUCAUACUCGUGGUAGCCGCAGUUUUGUGGAUCAUCUUUUAAUCGAAAAGGAUAGCUUAUGUUAUGGAGAUUGCCACAAGAAGAAGGAGCACAGAGAUGGCUAACCUGCGCAUUGCAAGCUUGGAGGUAAAUGAUGAGAACAGCAAUGGUUGAAAGACCAGAAAAGGGGAGCCUUGCCAUAAGAGAGUUUUUUUUGGAACUGUUGGGAAGAGGGAGAGUUAAGCAACCAAUUUUGAAAUUAAUGAUAUCUAGAAGUUUGGUCAAAGAAUUCAUGAAGGGAAGAAAUUUUAGCUUUGAAAUUGAAACUGUCCUCCCCAAGACAUUUUAUAAGCUAGAGCUGUUUUGAAAGCAACCCAUGGCACUGG
This 1925-nucleotide unclassified non-coding RNA is filed under the name Hevea brasiliensis (rubber tree). Lineage: Eukaryota; Viridiplantae; Streptophyta; Magnoliopsida; Malpighiales; Euphorbiaceae. The record is from RNAcentral.